UACAGAGACUGCAAGCGUUAUUCGGAUUCACUGGGCGUAAAGGGUGCGCAGGCGGUUGGGUGUGUCAGAUGUGAAAUCCCGAGGCUUAACCUCGGAACUGCGUAUAAAACUACUCGACUAGAGUAUUGGAGAGGGUAACGGAAUUCACGGUGUAGCAGUGAAAUGCGUAGAUAUCGUGAGGAACACCAGAGGCGAAGGCGGUUCACUGGACAAUUACUGACGCUCAGGCACGAAAGCAUGGGGAGCAAAAGGG
Molecule: ribosomal RNA, 253 nt
Filed under: uncultured bacterium
Lineage: Bacteria
Description: partial 16S ribosomal RNA
Rfam family: Bacterial small subunit ribosomal RNA
Source: RNAcentral